UAAUACAUGCAAGUAGAACGCUGAAGGAGGAGCUUGCUUCUCCGGAUGAGUUGCGAACGGGUGAGUAACGCGUAGGUAACCUGCCUGGUAGCGGGGGAUAGCUAUUGGAAACGAUAGCUAAUACCGCAUAAUAGCAGUUAUUGCAUGAUAACUGUUUGAAAGGUGCAAUUGCACCACUACCAGAUGGACCUGCGUUGUAUUAGCUAGUUGGUGGGGUAACGGCUCACCAAGGCGACGAUACAUAGCCGACCUGAGAGGGUGAUCGGCCACACUGGGACUGAGACACGGCCCAGACUCCUACGGGAGGCAGCAGUAGGGAAUCUUCGGCAAUGGACGGAAGUCUGACCGAGCAACGCCGCGUGAGUGAAGAAGGUUUUCGGAUCGUAAAGCUCUGUUGUAAGAGAAGAACGAGUGUGAGAGUGGAAAGUUCACACUGUGACGGUAUCUACCA
Molecule: ribosomal RNA, 451 nt
Filed under: Streptococcus mitis
Lineage: Bacteria; Bacillati; Bacillota; Bacilli; Lactobacillales; Streptococcaceae
Description: bacterial SSU rRNA
Rfam family: Bacterial small subunit ribosomal RNA
Source: RNAcentral